GACGAACGCUGGCGGCGUGCCUAACACAUGCAAGUCGAGCGGAGGAUAGCUGAUAGGUAACUUGAAGUUGUUCUUAGCGGCGGACGGGUGAGUAACACGUGGGCAACCUGCCUUGGAGAGGGGGAUAACACCGGGAAAUCGGUGCUAAUACCGCAUAACAUACACCUACUGCAUAGUAAGUGUAUCAAAGGAGCAAUCCGCUUUAAGAUGGGCCCGCGUCUGAUUAGCUGGUUGGUAAGGUAACGGCUUACCAAGGCUUCGAUCAGUAGCCGACCUGAGAGGGUGACCGGCCACACUGGAACUGAGACACGGUCCAGACUCCUACGGGAGGCAGCAGUGGGGAAUAUUGCGCAAUGGGGGGAACCCUGACGCAGCAACGCCGCGUGGAGGAAGAAGGUCUUCGGAUUGUAAACUCCUGUCUUCUGGGACGAAAAAUGACGGUACCAGAGGAGGAAGCCACGGCUAACUACGUG
RNAcentral lists this ribosomal RNA (473 nucleotides) under uncultured bacterium. Its description in RNAcentral is "bacterial SSU rRNA". It matches the Rfam family "Bacterial small subunit ribosomal RNA", at positions 28 to 507 of the family's 1533-position model. The record is from RNAcentral.